RNAcentral lists this ribosomal RNA (232 nucleotides) under uncultured bacterium. RNAcentral's name for it is "partial 16S ribosomal RNA". It matches the Rfam family "Bacterial small subunit ribosomal RNA", at positions 99 to 334 of the family's 1533-position model. The record is from RNAcentral.
CGGACGGGUGAGUAAUGUCUGGGAAGCUGCCUGAUGGAGGGGGAUAACUACUGGAAACGGUAGCUAAUACCGCAUAACGUCGCAAGACCAAAGAGGGGGACCUUCGGGCCUCUUGCCAUCGGAUGUGCCCAGAUGGGAUUAGCUAGUAGGUGGGGUAACGGCUCACCUAGGCGACGAUCCCUAGCUGGUCUGAGAGGAUGACCAGCCACACUGGAACUGAGACACGGUCCAG